RNAcentral lists this transfer RNA (75 nucleotides) under Candidatus Omnitrophota bacterium. RNAcentral describes it as "Candidatus Omnitrophica bacterium (groundwater metagenome) tRNA-Gly". It matches the Rfam family "tRNA". From Rfam's summary of the family: Transfer RNA (tRNA) molecules are approximately 80 nucleotides in length. Their secondary structure includes four short double-helical elements and three loops (D, anti-codon, and T loops). The record is from RNAcentral. Lineage: Bacteria; Pseudomonadati; Candidatus Omnitrophota.
GCGGGAGUAGCUCAGUGGUAGAGCGUCACGUUGCCAACGUGGAUGUCGUGGGUUCAAAUCCCAUCACCCGCUCCA